RNAcentral lists this ribosomal RNA (253 nucleotides) under uncultured bacterium. Its description in RNAcentral is "partial 16S ribosomal RNA". It matches the Rfam family "Bacterial small subunit ribosomal RNA", at positions 524 to 776 of the family's 1533-position model. The record is from RNAcentral.
GACGAACCGUGCGAACGUUGUUCGGAAUCACUGGGCUUAAAGGGCGCGUAGGCGGGGUAGUAAGUCUGUGGUGAAAUCCUCCGGCUCAACCGGAGAACGGCCGUGGAUACUGCUACUCUCGAGGGGUGUAGGGGCAUGCGGAACUCAGGGUGGAGCGGUGAAAUGCGUAGAUAUCCUGAGGAACGCCGGUGGCGAAAGCGGCGUGCUGGACACCUUCUGACGCUGAGGCGCGAAAGCCAGGGGAGCAAACGGG